RNAcentral lists this small nuclear RNA (107 nucleotides) under Dasypus novemcinctus (nine-banded armadillo). The record is from RNAcentral. Lineage: Eukaryota; Metazoa; Chordata; Mammalia; Cingulata; Dasypodidae.
GUGCUCGCUUCAGUAGCACAUGUACUAUAAUUGGAACACUACAGAGAACAUUAGCAUGGCCCCUGUGCAAGGAUGACACACAAACUUGUGAAGCAUUCCAUAUUUUU